GAUGAACGCUGGCGGCGUGCUUAACACAUGCAAGUCGAACGGAAAGGCUCCUGCUUGCAGGGGUACUCGAGUGGCGAACGGGUGAGUAACACGUGGGUGAUCUGCCCUGCACUUCGGGAUAAGCCUGGGAAACUGGGUCUAAUACCGGAUAGGACGAUGGUUUGGAUGCCAUUGUGGAAAGUUUUUUCGGUGUGGGAUGAGCUCGCGGCCUAUCAGCUUGUUGGUGGGGUAAUGGCCUACCAAGGCGUCGACGGGUAGCCGGCCUGAGAGGGUGUACGGCCACAUUGGGACUGAGAUACGGCCCAGACUCCUACGGGAGGCAGCAGUGGGGAAUAUUGCUCAAUGGGCGCUAGCCUGAUGCAGCGACGCCGCGUGGGGGAUGACGGCCUUCGGGUUGUAAACUCCUUUCGCUAGGGACGAAGCGCAAGUGACGGUACCUGGAGAAGAAGCACCGGCUAACUACGUG
This 466-nucleotide ribosomal RNA is filed under the name uncultured bacterium. Its description in RNAcentral is "partial 16S ribosomal RNA". It matches the Rfam family "Bacterial small subunit ribosomal RNA", at positions 28 to 507 of the family's 1533-position model. The record is from RNAcentral.